UUCUGAUUCAUUUGUUCUUCACGUAAAAUCCAUUAAUGUCCAAAAUUUUUCCGUUCCUGUAAGGCCGUUCCUUUGCAAAACCAAGCCAAUGAAUUCCCAAAAAUCAAAAAUCAAAAUCUCUAAAUCUUCACUUUGCCCCUGCGGGAUAGACUCUCAGUGAUCGUUGACUCAUUGCCGAAUGGACUUUCAGCGAUUGCUGCGAUUCACCGCCUCACGCUUGGGCCGCCUGGCUGUGCACUUGGGUUAGGUUUUAGGGUAAGUAAUUUACUAAUUAAAUUCUUAGAACAUGAAAAAUUGUACAAAAGUUUUGGGACCAUUUGCACCAAUUUUCUAUUAAGUAUUAAAAUUGGAAUAUGAAAUACUAUAAUGUAUUUAUUUUAUUAAAAUUUUUCCAUUUAAUAAUCAUCUCUGUAACCACCUUUUAAUAAUUUGAAAUGAGAGUGCAAAUUAGAACUGAAACGGGCUAUUUAUGUAAACUUUGAUUCUUCCUGUCAAAGAAAAUUAUUUUUCUUUAGUUUCUUUCUGGGCAUGGUUAACAAUCAUAAACACAUUCAAAUCCAUCUUUUCAUUCUCAGCAAUCAGAAUUUAAAUAGUUAAAUAUGAAGUUGGAAACUGGAAAGUUGAAAAUGUGGGGUAAUGCAGAGAAAGUUGCACAGAACUUGGUCUUGGUGCUUGCACAAAAGAUUCAUAUGGGGAACGAAUUAAAAUCUUUCAAUGUCUUUUCAAUUAAUUAUACUUGGUUUGUUGUAUUGUAUUUUGUUUAUGAUAAAUGUUCCGUGAAUGAUGAUAAUAAGAAUGAAGAAGGCAAAAAGCAGAAAUAAAUUAAUGGAAUUUGUUCGAGAAUGAGAUGUUGGUUUUUUGGAAUAAUUAAUUUUAGUUAUUAUGUUUCUUGUUUGUCUUUUAAUUAUGUGGAAACUGAGAAUUGAAAUUUUUUUUGUUGGCAGUUGGCACUCAUUCACUUGAUGGUAUUUUGUGGCCCAUUUUCAUAUUUUUGCUCGCAUUUGUUUAUGAUUUAUGCACAAGUGACGCAAAACGUGUGUUGUUGUGUUGCUUCAUUUCCCAUUUACGAUUUCUUCACCAUUGUCUAUAAUUCAUUUCCACUUUAUUUUUGUGUUUGUUUUUUUUUCCAUGAUUAAUUUUCGUAUAGAGAGCUUAGAGAUGUUAUUUUCCAAGUUUUUGACUCACAAUGCCAUAAUUUUUUUUUCUUUUGUAUAAUAUUCUUCGGGAUCUUUGGACUUGGGUUUAUCACUUUUGAUUUUAGCUCGCAAUUUAUUUCGAUUUAAAAGAUAUUUUGGGUUUUGAGUGUUCUUUUUUUAAAGACUUCAUUUUUUUUGUUACUUACUAUAGUUUCUGUUUUGGGCAUUUUUAUUUAUCAUUUAUUUAAUUUCUUUUCUGGAUUCAGGUAGCUUGAAUUUAUUGAAAUAGUGGUUUUUUUCUGGGUCAAUUUUUAAGUCCAACAUUGAUGACUUUGUUGUAUUUACAACAGAAAUACUAUCCUAUAGCCUUUUUGUGAGGUAACUGCUAAAUAAGUUCCAUAUUCACUACUGUUGUAGCCACUGAGACAGAAAGUAGAAUGUUACCUAUUCAUCUAAAAGUCUUAAACCACUAGAAUCUACAAAUAUUGCGAAAUGAACCCAUCAUGGACAAUUUCUUCUUCAUAUCUUCAAAUUCCUGCAAUUCAAAUCCCAAAUAAAAUCAAAUGCCAUUACACACUCAUAAAAACAUAUACGCAAGAACGUACGCGCACACAUAAACGUAAAAACAUACCUUAACUUUAGAGUCUGAAUCAAGUUCAGCCCUAGCUUCAGACCACAAAUUAAUAAAGCAGCACAACAUCUUAAAUUGAUUUACGUUGUCAUUAAGAUUGUGUUGGUUGAACUUAACUACAUUACUCAGUAAUUUUCAUUUGGAGUAAUUUUUUGCACAUCCUAAAUUUUAUCCACGUAUUAUGUGUUCUUGGAUAUGUCUUAGGUCUAAACAGGCCCUACAAGGCUCGAACCUUUGAUAAGAAGGUAAUUCCAUAGCCACAUAUUUAACAUAUGAGUUGUACUCAAACUUAGUUUUAUUUAUUUAUAAUUCUUUGCAGGAUUGUCUUUGACAUAUAUAAAAGAGAAGAAAAGUCAGUCACCAAAGAGCUGUUCAAGAAAAUUCCUCUAUUCGUUCCUAAGAUGGCAUUUCUCACACUUAUUUUUCUUAUUAUGUUUGUUCUAUGUGCUUACUCGUAUGGGCUGAACAAAUAAUUUUCAACUUUCUCAUUAGAUAAAUAGUGAUGAAUGUUGUUUUUACGUUCUUUAGUACAUAAAAUUAUUCUAAAAAAGUGCUUUGAAAAAUUUUAACAUCUUUGAGGGCUACCCAUAUUUUGUAACUGCUCUUUUCCUUUUCCGGUUCAACGAAAUUUGUCUAUUUUCAAAAGAUAUGUGUUGUGUGUGUGUGUGUGUGUAUAGCUAUAUUUUUGUUUGAGUAAGCAUAUUAGGCAAAAUAGAAAAUGAAGACGUGUUUUAAUGUUUAUUACUGCCUAUUUCUAAGUUGGUGUUUGAAUAAGAAGAUUAUAGUUUAAAUAGACAAUAACUACUUUCUUAUUAUAGAGUAGUUCAACAAAAUAUUCAAUACUAAGGUUCUUUAUUAUCAAGCAUAUGUGAUUCCUAUCAUAUACCUCUUUAUGUCUACGUUCAAAAUUUAUGUUAAAUUUAUAUAUAUAAAUUUUACGAUUAAUAAAUAAUUUUUGUAGAUGUCGUUAGAAUACAUAUUCUCCAAAUCAAUGGUUUUCUGCUACCAUUACUCAAUUUGAAAAUCAUCAAUAUCUUCAAGAUUUUGUAGAAUUUAUAGAUAGAGACGAUCAAGUUUCUUUAUUAUGCAGUCACUUUCACGGAUUUAUCUAUGGAAGUAUGUAUAAAGAACAAAAUGAAUAAUUUAGUAGCAAAUUAAUACACGAGUUCAUAAUGAGACUUAUCAAUUGAUGCAAAAAUAAUGAAGCUUGGGUACGAUUAAACGAUCAUGUGGCCCGUUUUAGCAUGCAAGAACUUUGUCUAAUCAUCGGAUUACCAUGCCAUGAAGUAACUAUUGAUCUCAAUUUCAAUAAUACUCGCCUUAGGGAUGAAUACUUCAAUGAUUCAAAAAGAAUUACUAUGAAAAGACUUUCUGAAGUAUUUCAUAUGUGUGAAGAUCAAGAAGAUAAAUUCAAGUUAGGAUUAGUUAUGUUCGUCAAAUGCGCUUUAAAGCCAAAUGGAAGACACAUCGAUUUCAGAACCCUUGAAAUGGUUGAACAACUUGAUAAAUUUCUUAUGUAUCCGUGGGGACGUAAAUCAUACUUUGUUUUAUUAAAUUCAUAGCAAGAAUCACACCUCAAAAGAAUACGAAGGAUGAAACAAAAUUACCAAACAGAUUGUAAAUAUUCGUUACAUGGUUAUCCACUUGCAUUCCAGGUAUUUUUCUUUUAUUUUUUUCAUGUUACAUAUAGUGCCUGUCUGGUAGAAAUUAUCAGUCCAGGAAAAUCGAUUUUCUGGUCAAAUCAUGUGGUCCUACAAUCUGACGGCUUCUUGCAUGGUUGUGUAAAACAUUACUAACUGGACAACUCUACCCUUCUUCAUCUCCACAAGAAUGAAUUCUCCGAUCACGUGAAGAUGGGAAAGGAUGAAAAAAUGUGUAAAUGCAUGUUGCUUGGUCUGCACAUUUGUCAGACACUUUCCAUUAAACAAUUCACCAACGGUCAUAAUUCAUAGGAAGAAUUUCAUGCAUUUCUCUAUCCUCAAUAGAAGACAAAUUUGACCAAAUACCCACUCUUGCAGCCUUUUUUCUCACGUGGACCCACCAACAACACAUUGCAAAGUUUAGAAAUAAUUAUUGCUCCAGCAUGAAACAAAUUGCUAGAGAAAU
Molecule: long non-coding RNA, 3873 nt
Filed under: Olea europaea subsp. europaea
Lineage: Eukaryota; Viridiplantae; Streptophyta; Magnoliopsida; Lamiales; Oleaceae
Source: RNAcentral